CACUCUCCCCUUUCUCCCGCCCGUGCGCAGCAGGGUGGCUCGCCGGCGCCAGCGGGCCCCGCGCGCCGCGGCAGGCGCAUGCGCCCUCCUUUUCGCGCCUUCGGUGGCGGCCACGGCCAGCGGCGAGGCCGGGGCUGAGGCCGGCGGGGGCGGACGGUUGAGGGGGCGGGCUGGGCUGGGCCCCGCCCCGCUCCGCGGCCGGCAGCUCUGCCCGCGCAGGGGCGGGAAGCGGCACCUCCCUCCCUCCCUUCUUUCCCGCCGGUGGGCUGGGCACGUGUCCUGCGCGGCGCUGCUCGGUCGAGGCCUGAGGGGGCUGAGCCCGGGGGGCUGCAAAGGCCGUCGGGGGGGGGGGUUGACUCGGUGCCCGCGUUUACCGUCAGUCCUCGGUGUACCCCGCCCCCUCCGGCUGUGCCCUGAGGGCUGGGGGAGCCUCGCUGAGGGUGGGGGCGGGGCGGUCUCCCCGGGGUGCGAUCCGGCUUCUCCGGCCGUGUCCGCGGGAGGCAGGGCCGCGGUCGGUACGGCCUGGCCUUGAGCGCCGGGCUUGCGCGGCUACUCGAAAAUGGGACGUGGAAAGACGGUUUUGUGUAAAAUGUAUUAUCUAUCAAAAGCAGUACACGGAGGAGUUUGCAUUUGCAUUUGAAUCCUUGCUGUUCGUUUUUUAGAGUGUGGAGGGGUGGUGUUUUCGAAGAUGCAGAGGUAAAAAGCAUGUAGUUUUUGUUAAGGUAAAAUAUGAGAUUCCUGGGAAACCACACAAUUCCGGGAAUUAGACUUUAAGGAAGAAACAGAAUAAUUCAUGAGGUGGUCUGGUCCACAGCUAUGUACAUCACAUUAGCUGGGACACUUGGAACUAAACUUUGCUUCAUUUUUUAGGACUAAGCCUCCCUUUGUCUCUCCCUGCAGCUGCUUUUUUUCCAUCCUUUCAUCUUUUUUAUCUCUCCAUCAUAAACAAAAUCCUAAAUAUAGCAUGAUAGAACUGCAGUCCUACGUUGUCUCAUGGAUAGCCACAAGGAUAUAUGGACACCUGAGAAAGGACACUGGAUCAAGUGCCUCGCCUUAAAAGCUUUCUUCAGCUGCUUUUCUCCCAUUUCUUGAAAACGUCACAAGCGUUCACAGUAUGAUUUUAUAAUGUACGCAUGCAAUAAUUCAAAAUAUAAUAAGCACGUAAUAAUUCAAACA
Harpia harpyja (harpy eagle) is the source of this 1176-nucleotide long non-coding RNA. RefSeq lists it as uncharacterized. NCBI's taxonomy places the organism in Eukaryota, Metazoa, Chordata, Aves, Accipitriformes, Accipitridae. The transcript is spliced from 2 exons. The record is from RefSeq and is a predicted model, not a curated record.